This 251-nucleotide ribosomal RNA is filed under the name uncultured prokaryote. RNAcentral describes it as "partial 16S ribosomal RNA". It matches the Rfam family "Bacterial small subunit ribosomal RNA", at positions 525 to 775 of the family's 1533-position model. The record is from RNAcentral.
ACGUAGGUGGCGAGCGUUAUCCGGAUUUACUGGGUGUAAAGCGCGUGCAGGCGGUGGCGUAAGGGACGUGUGAAAGCACCCGGCUUAACCGGGGGAGGCCGCGUCCGACUGCGCGACUGGAGGUGGGUAGAGGCGUGUGGAAUUCCCGGUGUAGUGGUGGAAUGCGUAGAGAUCGGGAGGAACACCAGAGGCGCAAGCGGGUGCCUGGGCGACGACUGACACUGAGGGACGAAAGCGUGGGGAGCGAACAG